UACGGAGGGUGCGAGCGUUGUCCGGAUUUAUUGGGUUUAAAGGGUGCGUAGGCGGCUUUUUAAGUCUGGGGUGAAAGCCCGCUGCUCAACAGCGGAACUGCCCUGGAUACUGGAGAGCUUGAGUACAGACGAGGUUGGCGGAAUGGACUGAGUAGCGGUGAAAUGCAUAGAUACAGUCCAGAACCCCGAUUGCGAAGGCAGCUGACUAGGCUGUUACUGACGCUGAGGCACGAAAGCGUGGGGAGCAAACAGG
RNAcentral lists this ribosomal RNA (253 nucleotides) under uncultured bacterium. RNAcentral's name for it is "partial 16S ribosomal RNA". It matches the Rfam family "Bacterial small subunit ribosomal RNA", at positions 524 to 776 of the family's 1533-position model. The record is from RNAcentral.